RNAcentral lists this ribosomal RNA (469 nucleotides) under uncultured bacterium. Its description in RNAcentral is "partial 16S ribosomal RNA". It matches the Rfam family "Bacterial small subunit ribosomal RNA", at positions 28 to 508 of the family's 1533-position model. The record is from RNAcentral.
GACGAACGCUGGCGGCGUGCUUAACACAUGCAAGUCGAACGGAAAGGCCCUGCUUUUGUGGGGUGCUCGAGUGGCGAACGGGUGAGUAACACGUGAGUAACCUGCCCUUGACUUUGGGAUAACUUCAGGAAACUGGGGCUAAUACCGGAUAGGAGCUCCUGCUGCAUGGUGGGGGUUGGAAAGUUUCGGCGGUUGGGGAUGGACUCGCGGCUUAUCAGCUUGUUGGUGGGGUAGUGGCUUACCAAGGCUUUGACGGGUAGCCGGCCUGAGAGGGUGACCGGCCACAGUGGGACUGAGAUACGGCCCAGACUCCUACGGGAGGCAGCAGUGGGGAAUAUUGCACAAUGGGCGGAAGCCUGAUGCAGCAACGCCGCGGGCGGGAUGACGGCCUUCGGGUUGUAAACCGCUUUCGCCUGUGACGAAGCGUGAGUGACGGUAAUGGGUAAAGAAGCACCGGCUAACUACGUGC